ACGACGCUGGCGGCGUGCCUAAUACAUGCAAGUCGAACGGUCUUUUCUAUGGAAGCUUGCUUCCACUGAGAAGAUAGUGGCGAACGGGUGAGUAACACGUGGGUAACCUGCCCAUAAGAGGGGGAUAACAUCCGGAAACGGGUGCUAAUACCGCAUAGUUUUCUUGAUCGCAUGAUCGGGAAAGGAAAGGCGGCCUUUGUGCUGUCGCUUAUGGAUGGACCCGCGGCGUAUUAGUUAGUUGGUGAGGUAACGGCUCACCAAGACGAUGAUACGUAGCCGACCUGAGAGGGUGAUCGGCCACAUUGGGACUGAGACACGGCCCAAACUCCUACGGGAGGCAGCAGUAGGGAAUCUUCCGCAAUGGACGAAAGUCUGACGGAGCAACGCCGCGUGAGUGAAGAAAGGUUUUCGGAUCGUAAAACUCUGUUGUCAGAGAAGAACAAGUUGGAGAGUAACUGCUCCAGCCUUGACGGUAUCUGACCAGAAAGCCACGGCUAACUACGUGCCAGCCGCAGC
Molecule: ribosomal RNA, 516 nt
Filed under: uncultured bacterium
Lineage: Bacteria
Description: bacterial SSU rRNA
Rfam family: Bacterial small subunit ribosomal RNA
Source: RNAcentral